RNAcentral lists this ribosomal RNA (245 nucleotides) under uncultured bacterium. RNAcentral describes it as "partial small subunit ribosomal RNA". It matches the Rfam family "Bacterial small subunit ribosomal RNA", at positions 26 to 285 of the family's 1533-position model. The record is from RNAcentral.
AGGACGAACGCUGGCGGCGUGCCUAACACAUGCAAGUCGCACGAGAAAGGGGAGCAAUCCCUGAGUACAGUGGCGCACGGGUGAGUAACACGUGAAUAAUCUACCUCCGAGUGGGGAAUAACUGAGAGAAAUCUUAGCUAAUACCGCAUAACACUUACGAGUCAAAGCAGCAAUGCGCUUGGAGAGGAGUUCGCGGCCGAUUAGUUAGUUGGCGGGGUAAUGGCCCACCAAGACGAUGAUCGGUA